This 275-nucleotide ribosomal RNA is filed under the name Bacillus licheniformis. RNAcentral's name for it is "partial 23S ribosomal RNA". It matches the Rfam family "Bacterial large subunit ribosomal RNA", at positions 2341 to 2616 of the family's 2925-position model. The record is from RNAcentral. Lineage: Bacteria; Bacillati; Bacillota; Bacilli; Caryophanales; Bacillaceae.
UUCGCAGAGUGUAAAGGCACAAGGGAGCUUGACUGCGAGACCUACAAGUCGAGCAGGGACGAAAGUCGGGCUUAGUGAUCCGGUGGUUCCGCAUGGAAGGGCCAUCGCUCAACGGAUAAAGCUACCCCGGGGAUAACAGGCUUAUCUCCCCCAAGAGUCCACAUCGACGGGGAGGUUUGGCACCUCGAUGUCGGCUCAUCGCAUCCUGGGGCUGUAGUCGGUCCCAAGGGUUGGGCUGUUCGCCCAUUAAAGCGGUACGCGAGCUGGGUUCAGAA